Molecule: ribosomal RNA, 1456 nt
Filed under: Bacillus thuringiensis serovar kurstaki
Lineage: Bacteria; Bacillati; Bacillota; Bacilli; Caryophanales; Bacillaceae
Description: bacterial LSU rRNA
Rfam family: Bacterial large subunit ribosomal RNA
Source: RNAcentral
AGCAAUGGAGGGACGCAGAAGGAUAGAAGAAGCGUGCGAUUGGUUGUGCACGUCCAAGCAGUUAGGCUGAUAAGUAGGCAAAUCCGCUUAUCGCGUAUGCUGAGCUGUGAUGGGGAAGCUCCUUAUGGAGCGAAGUCUUUGAUUCCCCGCUGCCAAGAAAAGCUUCUAGCGAGAUAAAAGGUGCCUGUACCGCAAACCGACACAGGUAGGCGAGGAGAGAAUCCUAAGGUGUGCGAGAGAACUCUGGUUAAGGAACUCGGCAAAAUGACCCCGUAACUUCGGGAGAAGGGGUGCUUUCUUAACGGAAAGCCGCAGUGAAUAGGCCCAAGCGACUGUUUAGCAAAAACACAGCUCUCUGCGAAGCCGUAAGGCGAAGUAUAGGGGGUGACACCUGCCCGGUGCUGGAAGGUUAAGGAGAGGGGUUAGCGUAAGCGAAGCUCUGAACUGAAGCCCCAGUAAACGGCGGCCGUAACUAUAACGGUCCUAAGGUAGCGAAAUUCCUUGUCGGGUAAGUUCCGACCCGCACGAAAGGUGUAACGAUUUGGGCACUGUCUCAACCAGAGACUCGGUGAAAUUAUAGUACCUGUGAAGAUGCAGGUUACCCGCGACAGGACGGAAAGACCCCGUGGAGCUUUACUGUAGCCUGAUAUUGAAUUUUGGUACAGUUUGUACAGGAUAGGCGGGAGCCAUUGAAACCGGAGCGCUAGCUUCGGUGGAGGCGCUGGUGGGAUACCGCCCUGACUGUAUUGAAAUUCUAACCUACGGGUCUUAUCGACCCGGGAGACAGUGUCAGGUGGGCAGUUUGACUGGGGCGGUCGCCUCCUAAAGUGUAACGGAGGCGCCCAAAGGUUCCCUCAGAAUGGUUGGAAAUCAUUCGUAGAGUGCAAAGGCAUAAGGGAGCUUGACUGCGAGACCUACAAGUCGAGCAGGGACGAAAGUCGGGCUUAGUGAUCCGGUGGUUCCGCAUGGAAGGGCCAUCGCUCAACGGAUAAAAGCUACCCCGGGGAUAACAGGCUUAUCUCCCCCAAGAGUCCACAUCGACGGGGAGGUUUGGCACCUCGAUGUCGGCUCAUCGCAUCCUGGGGCUGUAGUCGGUCCCAAGGGUUGGGCUGUUCGCCCAUUAAAGCGGUACGCGAGCUGGGUUCAGAACGUCGUGAGACAGUUCGGUCCCUAUCCGUCGUGGGCGUAGGAAAUUUGAGAGGAGCUGUCCUUAGUACGAGAGGACCGGGAUGGACGCACCGCUGGUGUACCAGUUGUUCUGCCAAGGGCAUAGCUGGGUAGCUAUGUGCGGAAGGGAUAAGUGCUGAAAGCAUCUAAGCAUGAAGCCCCCCUCAAGAUGAGAUUUCCCAUAGCGUAAGCUAGUAAGAUCCCUGAAAGAUGAUCAGGUUGAUAGGUUCGAGGUGGAAGCAUGGUGACAUGUGGAGCUGACGAAUACUAAUAGAUCGAGGACUUAACC